RNAcentral lists this ribosomal RNA (515 nucleotides) under uncultured archaeon. RNAcentral describes it as "bacterial SSU rRNA". It matches the Rfam family "Archaeal small subunit ribosomal RNA", at positions 345 to 859 of the family's 1478-position model. The record is from RNAcentral.
AACCUUUACACUGCACGACAGUGCGAUAGGGGGACUCCGAGUGCGAGGGCAUAGAGCCCUCGCUUUUGUACACCGUAAGGUGGUGUACGAAUAAGAACUGGGCAAGACCGGUGCCAGCCGCCGCGGUAAUACCGGCAGUUCGAGUGAUGGCCGAUUUUAUUGGGCCUAAAGCGUUCGUAGCUGGCCGAUCAAGUCUGUCGGGAAAUCUGCUCGCCUAACGAGCAGGCGUCCGGCGGAAACUGAUCGGCUUGGGACCGGAAGACUCGAGGGGUACGUCCGGGGUAGGAGUGAAAUCCUGUAAUCCUGGACGGACCACCGAUGGCUAAAGCACCUCGAGAGCACGGAUCCGACAGUGAGGAACGAAAGCUGGGGUCUCGAACCGGAUUAGAUACCCGGGUAGUCCCAGCUGUCAACGAUGCCCGCUAGGUAUGGCGCAGGCUACGAGCCUGUGCUAUGCCGUAGCGAAGGCGCUAAGCGGGCCGCCUGGGAAGUACGUUCGCAAGAAUGAAACUUAA